RNAcentral lists this ribosomal RNA (2874 nucleotides) under Klebsiella pneumoniae. RNAcentral's name for it is "bacterial LSU rRNA". It matches the Rfam family "Bacterial large subunit ribosomal RNA". The record is from RNAcentral. Lineage: Bacteria; Pseudomonadati; Pseudomonadota; Gammaproteobacteria; Enterobacterales; Enterobacteriaceae.
ACUUCAGAGUGAACCUGAAAAGGUGCACUGCGAAGUUUUGCUCUUUAAAAAUCUGGAUCAAGCUGAAAAUUGAAACGACACACAGUUAAUGUGUGUUCGAGUCUCUCAAAUUUUCGCNCACUAUCGUUAACUGAAUACAUAGGUUAACGAGGCGAACCGGGGGAACUGAAACAUCUAAGUACCCCGAGGAAAAGAAAUCAACCGAGAUUCCCCCAGUAGCGGCGAGCGAACGGGGAGCAGCCCAGAGUCUGAAUCAGCUUGUGUGUUAGUGGAACGGUCUGGAAAGUCCGACGGUACAGGGUGAUAGUCCCGUACACCAAAAUGCACAGGCUGUGAACUCGAAGAGUAGGGCGGGACACGUGGUAUCCUGUCUGAAUAUGGGGGGACCAUCCUCCAAGGCUAAAUACUCCUGACUGACCGAUAGUGAACCAGUACCGUGAGGGAAAGGCGAAAAGAACCCCGGCGAGGGGAGUGAAAAAGAACCUGAAACCGUGUACGUACAAGCAGUGGGAGCACCUUCGGGUGUGACUGCGUACCUUUUGUAUAAUGGGUCAGCGACUUAUAUUCUGUAGCAAGGUUAACCGUAUAGGGGAGCCGCAGGGAAACCGAGUCUUAACUGGGCGUUAAGUUGCAGGGUAUAGACCCGAAACCCGGUGAUCUAGCCAUGGGCAGGUUGAAGGUUGGGUAACACUAACUGGAGGACCGAACCGACUAAUGUUGAAAAAUUAGCGGAUGACUUGUGGCUGGGGGUGAAAGGCCAAUCAAACCGGGAGAUAGCUGGUUCUCCCCGAAAGCUAUUUAGGUAGCGCCUCGUGAAUUCAUCUUCGGGGGUAGAGCACUGUUUCGGCUAGGGGGUCAUCCCGACUUACCAACCCGAUGCAAACUACGAAUACCGAAGAAUGUUAUCACGGGAGACACACGGCGGGUGCUAACGUCCGUCGUGAAGAGGGAAACAACCCAGACCGCCAGCUAAGGUCCCAAAGUCAUGGUUAAGUGGGAAACGAUGUGGGAAGGCACAGACAGCCAGGAUGUUGGCUUAGAAGCAGCCAUCAUUUAAAGAAAGCGUAAUAGCUCACUGGUCGAGUCGGCCUGCGCGGAAGAUGUAACGGGGCUAAACCAUGCACCGAAGCUGCGGCAGCGACACUAUGUGUUGUUGGGUAGGGGAGCGUUCUGUAAGCCUGCGAAGGUGUGCUGUGAGGCAUGCUGGAGGUAUCAGAAGUGCGAAUGCUGACAUAAGUAACGAUAAAGCGGGUGAAAAGCCCGCUCGCCGGAAGACCAAGGGUUCCUGUCCAACGUUAAUCGGGGCAGGGUGAGUCGACCCCUAAGGCGAGGCCGAAAGGCGUAGUCGAUGGGAAACAGGUUAAUAUUCCUGUACUUGGUGUUACUGCGAAGGGGGGACGGAGAAGGCUAUGUUAGCCGGGCGACGGUUGUCCCGGUUUAAGCAUGUAGGCUGGUUGUCCAGGCAAAUCCGGAUAAUCAAGGCUGAGGUGUGAUGACGAGGCACUACGGUGCUGAAGUAACAAAUGCCCUGCUUCCAGGAAAAGCCUCUAAGCAUCAGGUAACAUCAAAUCGUACCCCAAACCGACACAGGUGGUCAGGUAGAGAAUACCAAGGCGCUUGAGAGAACUCGGGUGAAGGAACUAGGCAAAAUGGUGCCGUAACUUCGGGAGAAGGCACGCUGGUGUGUAGGUGAAGUCCCUGCGGAUGGAGCUGAGACCAGUCGAAGAUACCAGCUGGCUGCAACUGUUUAUUAAAAACACAGCACUGUGCAAACACGAAAGUGGACGUAUACGGUGUGACGCCUGCCCGGUGCCGGAAGGUUAAUUGAUGGGGUUAUCCGUAAGGAGAAGCUCUUGAUCGAAGCCCCGGUAAACGGCGGCCGUAACUAUAACGGUCCUAAGGUAGCGAAAUUCCUUGUCGGGUAAGUUCCGACCUGCACGAAUGGCGUAAUGAUGGCCAGGCUGUCUCCACCCGAGACUCAGUGAAAUUGAACUCGCUGUGAAGAUGCAGUGUACCCGCGGCAAGACGGAAAGACCCCGUGAACCUUUACUAUAGCUUGACACUGAACAUUGAGCCUUGAUGUGUAGGAUAGGUGGGAGGCUUUGAAGCGUGGACGCCAGUCUGCGUGGAGCCAACCUUGAAAUACCACCCUUUAAUGUUUGAUGUUCUAACGUUGGCCCCUUACCGGGGUUGCGGACAGUGUCUGGUGGGUAGUUUGACUGGGGCGGUCUCCUCCCAAAGCGUAACGGAGGAGCACGAAGGUUAGCUAAUCCUGGUCGGACAUCAGGAGGUUAGUGCAAUGGCAUAAGCUAGCUUGACUGCGAGCGUGACGGCGCGAGCAGGUGCGAAAGCAGGUCAUAGUGAUCCGGUGGUUCUGAAUGGAAGGGCCAUCGCUCAACGGAUAAAAGGUACUCCGGGGAUAACAGGCUGAUACCGCCCAAGAGUUCAUAUCGACGGCGGUGUUUGGCACCUCGAUGUCGGCUCAUCACAUCCUGGGGCUGAAGUAGGUCCCAAGGGUAUGGCUGUUCGCCAUUUAAAGUGGUACGCGAGCUGGGUUUAGAACGUCGUGAGACAGUUCGGUCCCUAUCUGCCGUGGGCGCUGGAGAAUUGAGGGGGGCUGCUCCUAGUACGAGAGGACCGGAGUGGACGCAUCACUGGUGUUCGGGUUGUCAUGCCAAUGGCACUGCCCGGUAGCUAAAUGCGGAAGAGAUAAGUGCUGAAAGCAUCUAAGCACGAAACUUGCCCCGAGAUGAGUUCUCCCUGAGACUUUAAGUCUCCUGAAGGAACGUUGAAGACGACGACGUUGAUAGGCCGGGUGUGUAAGCGCAGCGAUGCGUUGAGCUAACCGGUACUAAUGAACCGUGAGGCUUAACC